This 797-nucleotide ribosomal RNA is filed under the name Bacillus licheniformis. Its description in RNAcentral is "bacterial SSU rRNA". It matches the Rfam family "Bacterial small subunit ribosomal RNA", at positions 550 to 1348 of the family's 1533-position model. The record is from RNAcentral. Lineage: Bacteria; Bacillati; Bacillota; Bacilli; Caryophanales; Bacillaceae.
AUUAUUGGGCGUAAGGGCUCGCAGGCGGUUUCUUAAGUCUGAUGUGAAAGCCCCCGGCUCAACCGGGGAGGGUCAUUGGAAACUGGGGAACUUGAGUGCAGAAGAGGAGAGUGGAAUUCCACGUGUAGCGGUGAAAUGCGUAGAGAUGUGGAGGAACACCAGUGGCGAAGGCGACUCUCUGGUCUGUAACUGACGCUGAGGAGCGAAAGCGUGGGGAGCGAACAGGAUUAGAUACCCUGGUAGUCCACGCCGUAAACGAUGAGUGCUAAGUGUUAGGGGGUUUCCGCCCCUUAGUGCUGCAGCUAACGCAUUAAGCACUCCGCCUGGGGAGUACGGUCGCAAGACUGAAACUCAAAGGAAUUGACGGGGGCCCGCACAAGCGGUGGAGCAUGUGGUUUAAUUCGAAGCAACGCGAAGAACCUUACCAGGUCUUGACAUCCUCUGACAAUCCUAGAGAUAGGACGUCCCCUUCGGGGGCAGAGUGACAGGUGGUGCAUGGUUGUCGUCAGCUCGUGUCGUGAGAUGUUGGGUUAAGUCCCGCAACGAGCGCAACCCUUGAUCUUAGUUGCCAGCAUUCAGUUGGGCACUCUAAGGUGACUGCCGGUGACAAACCGGAGGAAGGUGGGGAUGACGUCAAAUCAUCAUGCCCCUUAUGACCUGGGCUACACACGUGCUACAAUGGACAGAACAAAGGGCAGCGAAACCGCGAGGUUAAGCCAAUCCCACAAAUCUGUUCUCAGUUCGGAUCGCAGUCUGCAACUCGACUGCGUGAAGCUGGAAUCGCUAGUAAUCGCGGA